This 588-nucleotide ribosomal RNA is filed under the name uncultured bacterium. Its description in RNAcentral is "bacterial SSU rRNA". It matches the Rfam family "Bacterial small subunit ribosomal RNA", at positions 57 to 690 of the family's 1533-position model. The record is from RNAcentral.
GCAAGUCGAACGAAGUAGCAAUACUUAGUGGCAGACGGGUGAGUAACAUGUGGGUAUCUUCCCUUUGGUGAGGAAUAACACGAGGAAACUUGUGCUAAUACCUCAUAAGUCUUUACGGAGAAAGCUUUAUGCGCCAAUGGAUGAGCCCGCACUUGAUUAGUUUGUUGGUGAGGUAAUGGCUCACCAAGACUUUGAUCAAUAGCUGAUUUGAGAGGAUGAUCAGCCACAUUGGGACUGAGACACGGCCCAAACUCCUACGGGAGGCAGCAGUAGGGAAUCUUGCACAAUGGGGGAAACCCUGAUGCAGCGAUGCCGCGUGAGUGAAGAAGGCCUUUGGGUUGUAAAGCUCUUUCGUCGGGGAAGAAAAUGACUGUACCCGAAUAAGAAGGUCCGGCUAACUUCGUGCCAGCAGCCGCGGUAAUACGAAGGGACCUAGCGUAGUUCGGAAUUACUGGGCUUAAAGAGUUCGUAGGUUGUUAAAAAAGUUGGUGGUGAAAUCCCAGAGCUUAACUCUGGAACUGCCAUCAAAACUUUUUAGCUAGAGUUUGAUAGAGGAAAGCAGAAUUUCUAGUGUAGAGGUGAAAUUCG